This is a non-coding RNA of Gossypium hirsutum (cotton), 106 nucleotides long. The record is from Rfam. Lineage: Eukaryota; Viridiplantae; Streptophyta; Magnoliopsida; Malvales; Malvaceae.
AUCCCGUGAUGAGGACACUUCCUUAACAGAAACUUAAAUCACUUCCAUGCCUCGUACAGAGUUUCACCCUCAAUCUACUUGAAAUUUGCAAUAUCACAUCUGAGCU